UCCUUCGUAGCUUAGUUGGUUAAAGUAAUAGUCUAACGUACUGUAGGGUCGUGGGUUCGAGUCCUACCGAAGGGAA
This is a non-coding RNA of Armigeres subalbatus, 76 nucleotides long. The record is from the annotation of a RefSeq genome assembly. NCBI's taxonomy places the organism in Eukaryota, Metazoa, Arthropoda, Insecta, Diptera, Culicidae.